This 253-nucleotide ribosomal RNA is filed under the name uncultured bacterium. Its description in RNAcentral is "partial 16S ribosomal RNA". It matches the Rfam family "Bacterial small subunit ribosomal RNA", at positions 524 to 776 of the family's 1533-position model. The record is from RNAcentral.
UACGGAGGGUGCGAGCGUUAAUCGGAAUUACUGGGCGUAAAGCGCGCGUAGGCGGUCAGGCAAGUCGGGUGUGAAAGCCCUGGGCUCAACCUGGGAAUUGCAUUCGAAACUAUCUGACUCGAGUACGGGAGAGGGAAGCGGAAUUUCCGGUGUAGCGGUGAAAUGCGUAGAUAUCGGAAGGAACACCCGUGGCUAAGGCGGUUCUCUAGUACGGUACUGACGCUGAGACGCGAAAGCGUGGGGAGCGAACAGG